Molecule: ribosomal RNA, 497 nt
Filed under: uncultured bacterium
Lineage: Bacteria
Description: partial 16S ribosomal RNA
Rfam family: Bacterial small subunit ribosomal RNA
Source: RNAcentral
GAUGAACGCUGGCGGCGUGCCUAAUACAUGCAAGUCGAGCGAACAGACGAGGAGCUUGCUCCUCUGACGUUAGCGGCGGACGGGUGAGUAACACGUGGAUAACCUACCUAUAAGACUGGGAUAACUUCGGGAAACCGGAGCUAAUACCGGAUAAUAUAUUGAACCGCAUGGUUCAAUAGUGAAAGACGGUUUUGCUGUCACUUCUAGCUGGAUCCGCGCCGCAUUAGCUAGUUGGUAAGGUAACGGCUUACCAAGGCGACGAUGCGUAGCCGACCUGAGAGGGUGAUCGGCCACACUGGAACUGAGACACGGUCCAGACUCCUACGGGAGGCAGCAGUAGGGAAUCUGACGCAAUGGGCGAAAGCCUGACGGAGCAACGCCGCGUGAGUGAUGAAGGUCUUCGGAUCGUAAAACUCUGUUAUUAGGGAAGAACAAAUGUGUAAGUAACUAUGCACGUCUUGACGGUACCUAAUCAGAAAGCCACGGCUAACUACGUG